UUCCAACAAAUGGUAUCAUGAGCCUAAGUCUUAAGGGACCAUUGAUUUUGCUUCCCCUGCUCAACAUCGGCUCAAACUUAUGAGACCUCCAAACAAGCUUCAAUAAGCUGAAGGAGGAGUUUCAAGGAAAGGUGUGAGCUUUCCAAAUGUGCAAGCUUAGCAAGAUGUCAAAGCUGCAAGCUUAGCAAAGUGCGAGCUGAUGAAGACACCUGUUGAAGACAAUAUGCAAAGAUGUGAGUCUGUCAAAGGUGUGAGUUCAGCAACAUGUGGAAGCUCAAUGUGUGUUGUAUAGUUGCAAGCCAAAAUGGCAGAAUGAAGGCAAGCAACUAUACUCGGGAACUGUUUGUGCAAGAAGAAACAAGUUGUCAACCAAGGCUGUGAAGGAGGAGAAGACUCCAUUUGGUGAACAAAUCUUUGGCACAAAAGACUGGGAUAGUCAAGUGUGUAAGUCAGAUUUGUUGUUUGUGAAUGAGGUCAAGGUUGAAAAUGAAUUGGUCAGCUUGAAUCAAAGCAUCUAAGAGCUGCCAAGUUCAAAAAACUUGAUGAAUGACUGGUAUUUGCAGCAUGGAGUCCAAGGAGGAGUGUUGAAAAUGGCCAACCAUGCUGCUAUUAUGUUUUUGUUAAAAUGCAUGGUACUAUGAUGAUUCUGUUGAAUGUAUACUGCUUGUAUGCAUGUUGCAGCAUUUGUGCAUGUUGCAGCAACAUAUUUUCUGUUUUAGUUGCAAUGUAAUUUAGUUUGGUUGAGAAUGAACUUUGAUGUUGAUGUUUUGAUUGGUUGGUUAAGCUGAUAAGUCAGCUUAUCCAUGUGUACAAGCAAUGUUUUUAAAGUUACUAGGCUACUUAGUGGUAUUAGGUAGUAAUAACUGAUGUAGUUGGCUAUAAAUGUAUUGUUUUUCUUAUUGAAAAAUUAAGCAUAUCAGUUGUGAAACUCAGAUUGCUUCCUUGCUGCACGUUUGUGAGCAAGUAAAUUGUUUUUGUUUCUUCCUCUUUUGUUCUCUGUCUUGUUCUUUUUCUUUUUGCUGCUGCCAUUGUUCCAACAAAUGGUAUCAUGAGCCUAAGUCUUAAGGGACCAUUGAUUUUGCUUCCCCUGCUCAACAUCAGCUCAAACUUAUGAGACCUCCAAACAAGCUUCAAUAAGCUGAAGGAGGAGUUUCAAGGAAAGGUGUGAGCUUUCCAAAUAUGCAAGCUUAGCAAGAUGUCAAAGCUGCAAGCUUAGCAAAGUGCGAGCUGAUGAAGACACCUGUUGAAGACAAUAUGCAAAGAUGUGAGUCUGUCAAAGGUGUGAGUUCAGCAACAUGUGGAAG
RNAcentral lists this long non-coding RNA (1304 nucleotides) under Gossypium raimondii (Peruvian cotton). RNAcentral's name for it is "long non-coding RNA (GRAI_LNC009669)". Lineage: Eukaryota; Viridiplantae; Streptophyta; Magnoliopsida; Malvales; Malvaceae. The record is from RNAcentral.